GAAAUGCGAUAAGUAAUGUGAAUUGCAGAAUUCAGUGAAUCAUCGAAUCUUUGAACGCACAUUACGCCCGCCAGUAUUCUGGCGGGCAUGCCUGUUCGAGCGUCAUUUCAACCAUCAAGCCCCCGGCUUGUGUUGGGGACCUGCGGCUGCCCGCAGGCCCUGAAAAACAGUGGCGGGCUCGCUGUCACACCGAGCGUAGUAGCAUACAUUCUCGCUCAGGGCGUGCUGCGGGUUCCGGCCGUUAAACGACCUUCAUAACCCAAGGUUGACCUCGGAUCAGGUAGGAAGACCCGCUGAACUUAAGC
This 305-nucleotide unclassified non-coding RNA is filed under the name plant metagenome. RNAcentral's name for it is "partial contains 5.8S ribosomal RNA, internal transcribed spacer 2, and large subunit ribosomal RNA". The stretch from base 1 to 105 matches the Rfam family "5.8S ribosomal RNA", at positions 50 to 154 of the family's 154-position model. The record is from RNAcentral.